CGUAACACGUGAGCAACCUACCGAACUGUGGGGGAUAGCCGGCCUAACGGCCGAGUAAUACCGCAUACGCUUUCAGUGAGGCAUUUCACUGGAAGGAAACCUACGGGACAGAUCGAGGGGCUCGCGGCCUAUCAGCUAGUUGGCGAGGUAACGGCUCACCAAGGCAACGACGGGUAGCUGGUCUGAGAGGAUGGCCAGCCACAUUGGGACUGAGAUACGGCCCAG
This 225-nucleotide ribosomal RNA is filed under the name uncultured bacterium. RNAcentral describes it as "partial 16S ribosomal RNA". It matches the Rfam family "Bacterial small subunit ribosomal RNA", at positions 109 to 334 of the family's 1533-position model. The record is from RNAcentral.